Molecule: ribosomal RNA, 253 nt
Filed under: uncultured bacterium
Lineage: Bacteria
Description: partial 16S ribosomal RNA
Rfam family: Bacterial small subunit ribosomal RNA
Source: RNAcentral
UACGUAGGGCGCAAUCGUUAUCCGGAAUUAUUGGGCGUAAAGCGCUCGUAGGCGGUCUGUCGCGUCGGCUGUGAAAACCCGGAGCUCAACUCCGGGCCUGCAGUCGAUACGGGCAGACUGGAGUUCGGCAGGGGAGACUGGAAUUCCUGGUGUAGCGGUGAAAUGCGCAGAUAUCAGGAGGAACACCGGUGGCGAAGGCGGGUCUCUGGGCCGAUACUGACGCUGAGGAGCGAAAGCGUGGGGAGCGAACAGG